RNAcentral lists this unclassified non-coding RNA (230 nucleotides) under Hevea brasiliensis (rubber tree). Lineage: Eukaryota; Viridiplantae; Streptophyta; Magnoliopsida; Malpighiales; Euphorbiaceae. The record is from RNAcentral.
GCAUAAUGUAAUGUAAAGGACACAACUAUAAACAAAAUUGAUCAUUUUUUCCUAAAAUUAAAUGAAGAAAUCAAAAUGCAACACAAGCUGAGACCACUGUAAUGAAACAAAACAAAUUAAUCUCAUAACAAUAAUUAUCGUAACAGAAAAAUGCAAGCAAAGAAAGGAAUUGAAUUGGGAACAAUAGACACGAGAAUAAGCUGCUUCGAAGUGGCAGGGGCCACAUGGAA